Molecule: ribosomal RNA, 254 nt
Filed under: uncultured bacterium
Lineage: Bacteria
Description: partial 16S ribosomal RNA
Rfam family: Bacterial small subunit ribosomal RNA
Source: RNAcentral
CACGUAGGGGGCAAGCGUUGUCCGGAUUUAUUGGGCGUAAAGAGCUCGUAGGCGGUUUCGUAAGUCGGAUGUGAAAACUCCAGGCUCAACUUGGAGACGCCAUUCGAUACUGCGAUGACUUGAGUCCGGUAGGGGAGUGUGGAAUUCCUGGUGUAGCGGUGAGAUGCGCAGAUAUCAGGAGGAACACCGGCGGCGAAGGCGGCACUCUGGGCCGGUACUGACGCUGAGGAGCGAAAGCGUGGGUAGCAAACAGG